UCGAACGGGAGUUUAUUUAUAGCAAUAUGAGUGAAUUCUAGUGGCGAAAGGGUGCGUAACACGUAGCUCACCUACCUCAAUGUGGGGGAUAGCUCGGCGAAAGCCGGAUUAAUACCGCAUGUGGUCGAGAGACUAAAGCUGGGGAUCGUAAGACCUGGCGCAAUGAGAUGGGGCUGCGGCCUAUCAGGUAGUUGGCGGGGUAAUGGCCCACCAAGCCUAAGACGGGUAGCUGGUCUGAGAGGACGACCAGCCACACUGGAACUGAGACACGGUCCAGACACCUACGGGUGGCAGCAGUCGAGGAUUUUUCUCAAUGGGGGAAACCCUGAAGGAGCGACGCCGCGUGGGGGAUGAAGGUCUUCGGAUUGUAAACCCCUGUCAUGCGGGAUCAAAGCUUACGACUUAAUACGUCGUAAGUUGAUAGUACUGCAAGAGGAAGCAGUGGCUAACUCUGUGCCAGCAGCCGCGGUAAUACAGAGACUGCAAGCGUUGUUCGGAUUCAUUGGGCGUAAAGGGUCCGCAGGCGGUUCGGCAAGUCGGGUGUGAAAUCCCGUAGCUUAACUACGGAAAGUCAUUCGAAACUGCCGAGCUAGAGGACUGGAGAGGAGACUGGAAUGGUCGGUGUAGCGGUGAAAUGCGUAGAGAUCGACCAGAACACCAGUAGCGAAGGCGAGUCUCUGGACAGUUCCUGACGCUCAUGGACGAAAGCCAGGGGAGCAAACGGGAUUAGAUACCCCGGUAGUCCUGGCCCUAAACGGUGCUUACUUGGUGUGGGGGGGGAUUCGACCCCCUCCGUGCCGUAGCUAACGCGUUAAGUAAGCCGCCUGGGAAGUACGGUCGCAAGAUUAAAACUCAAAGAAAUU
Molecule: ribosomal RNA, 863 nt
Filed under: uncultured bacterium
Lineage: Bacteria
Description: bacterial SSU rRNA
Rfam family: Bacterial small subunit ribosomal RNA
Source: RNAcentral